Molecule: long non-coding RNA, 1546 nt
Filed under: Triticum aestivum (bread wheat)
Lineage: Eukaryota; Viridiplantae; Streptophyta; Magnoliopsida; Poales; Poaceae
Description: long non-coding RNA (TAES_LNC000411)
Source: RNAcentral
GCCUUCUGAAAAAGACUGAGGCUGCACUUGUUCCUGUUAGGUACUUGUAGCAAAUAUUUACUAACUUUUGUUCUUUCGAUCAGAUAAUAAAAGUUUCAUGUCUCUUAAUAAAUUUUAGGUUGUCAUGUUACAAAAAGGCCUAUCUACAAAUAGGUGGACAAGAUAAAACAUUAAAAAUAGACUAGAGCAUUUUCCAUCUCCAUUGAUAAGAAAUAGGUGAAAAGAAAUUAAACUUACUCUUUUCCUUCCUUGCGUAAACGUCUUGUGCUGCUAUGUAGAAGAGGUAUAAUCUUUUUAUAUGGUGAAUCAUGAAGAAACUUAUAGCACAGUGCUAUCAUCUAUGGUAUUGGUGAAUAGUAGCCAUAGUGGUUUAGGAUCUUUUUCAUGUGUUGGCUAAUUGGUUAUUGAUUGUAAUUGCCAGUUUCUCUUCACAUAUGAACCAUGCAUACUUGAUGGUGGGUGAUCCAAAAAUGAUCUCAACCAAUAAAACUUUUAGCGAGUAUGUAAGAACUGGAGUUCUGGAUAUGGAUAGCAGACUACUUUUGAUGGUACUCAGUUUCUUGAAUCCUGUACAUUUCACAAAAACAAUAUGUUGCUUUCAAUGUUUUGGAUUUUACCAUGUGAGUGCCUCUGGAGAGAUUUUUUAAUUGCUUUCUUAUGCUUCCACCUAUUUUCUUCCAGAAUGAUGAUGUGCUUUCUGCUAAAAUUGUACACUAUGGUGUUGAUAAGCAUGAAUUAUUUGCUGUCCUCACAUACAGUCGUAAGCCUUAUUAACUUGAUCAUAGUGUUCUCUUUUUAUUUGUUAGCGGCAUGAUUGAAGGGCGAGACUACCAGCUGGUGAAGGAGAGGAUAUGUAUUCGGCGUGUCCUGAAGAGGUAGUCCACGAACCGGCAAUGGAGGAAAUAAGGUAGAGACGGCAAUAGCAGCAAGUACGUCAAGCGCCAGGGAUGUGGAUAUGGUGUGGCAUAAAAAGGUAGUCCACAAACCUCUGCUAGGUGCUCCUCUCUCACCUCUUGCGUCCUUUGGGGAUAUUCCUUCAUUAUUUGGUUACCUGUCAAUGCUCGGUCUUGUUUCCCACCUUGUGCUUUGACUUCUUGCAUUUUUUUCGUCUAAGUUAUUAGGCUACUGCUGCCUGGUUUGCCCAUGAUGAACCACUAAUUAUGAUGCACUGAUGGCUGGUCUACCUUUUUUAUGCUUUUUUUAGUGACAGCAUUCAGACUUAAUGUUUAUUACUUCAUUUCAGAGUUUUAAAUUAAGACAUCGCGGUCAAUUUAUAUGGUCUUCUGAAGUUUCCCUUCCCUUUGUCAUAUUGGUUUGAUCAAAUUAAUGGGAAGCCGGCAUUACUUUGAUGUACUGGCUUAUAGUCUUAUUAAGUACUCCCUCUUCAAACUAAUACAAGACCUUUUAGAUCACUGCUUACCUUUUAGAUCACUAAAAUAGUGAUCUAAAAGGUCUUACAUCUUAGCGCACAUUUAACUACUGUAUUUGUUGUACUAUUGUGGAUGUACCGCAGAAUAAAGCAGUCCUCCAUUUUUCUUCUAUGCAG